UAGGGAAUAUUGGUCAAUGGGCGAAAGCCUGAACCAGCCAUGCCGCGUGGGGGAUGAAGGCCUUCGGGUCGUAAACCCCUUUUCUGAGGGAAGAACAACCGGGAUUAAUACCCCCGGCCUGACGGUACCUCAGGAAUAAGCAACGGCCAACUCCGUGCCAGCAGCCGCGGUAAUACGGAGGUUGCAAGCGUUGUUCGGAAUUACUGGGCGUAACGGGAGCGCAGGCGGUUGGGUAAGUCUGAGGUGCAAGUCCGAGGCUUAACCUCGGAAGUGCUGUGGAUACU
This 284-nucleotide ribosomal RNA is filed under the name uncultured prokaryote. Its description in RNAcentral is "partial 16S ribosomal RNA". It matches the Rfam family "Bacterial small subunit ribosomal RNA", at positions 355 to 634 of the family's 1533-position model. The record is from RNAcentral.